Long non-coding RNA from Octopus sinensis (East Asian common octopus), 190 nucleotides. RefSeq lists it as uncharacterized. The record is from RefSeq and is a predicted model, not a curated record. NCBI's taxonomy places the organism in Eukaryota, Metazoa, Mollusca, Cephalopoda, Octopoda, Octopodidae. The transcript is spliced from 2 exons.
UGGUUUGAUUUAAUUUUGUUUGUUUUUGUUUUGUUACUUACCUUAUUUUUUUUAUUGUAUCUUUUUUUCUUCACGUUUGAACAAAUUUCUUCCGUUAUUCUUGGAAACGAAACUGUCCUGAUUUCGCCACGAUUCGAACAAUCAGCUCAGUUGUUUAUAGUUAUUCAAAGAAAAAAGAACAAAACAAAAA